GGGGGGGGAAUCAAAGACUCUUUGACCAUAAUUCGUUGGAAUUAUUAAAAGAGGAGGUUCAUGUUGGCAAUGUCAAAGUGCUGUUUAUCUUAUAGUUCUACCCAAAGGACCUGAAGAGCUCUCCUCCUGCUUCACAACCAAUCACCAUCACCAUUUCAUUCUCAUCCAGAGGAGAAUCAAGUAGAACUGAAUGACUAGCCUGUGACUGAGAAGAAGAUGGGGUAGUUUCCUGCAACUGAGGAGACUAGUAAGGGAGCAGCAGGGGUAUAAAGAUGAGGGUGGUUUUCCCAAUUCACUUUAAAGGGAAUGGACAUCAGGGACUGCCUAUUGGACUGAGUACAUAGGACUCAGGACCAUGGAGGAGCCUGGGAUGAAUUGGAUAGAACAGGAACCACCUGAAAAUCCUCCCUCUCAGCAUAGACCAGGAAUAGACUCAAGUAAGAGACUUGAACCUAGAGUAAAGCGCUGUUUUGAAUAUUUUUCUGAACUCUUGUGUUAUGAUUGACCUCCAAGUAGUUGAGGCUGUUUAAUAAUGUAGUAUUCCAUUUCUCCCUUCCAUUGCGAAGGACCUAAUGCUCAGUUAAAUAAUGUUGAGUCCAGGUUUAGUGGACUCAUUUCCCAGAGCUGUGGCCACUAACCUUCCAGAAAAGUAGCCAUCCCUGAAUUUUUAGGCCAUUAAAUAAUAAAUAAGAGGACUUCUAAAAUUAAUCUCCUUGCAUUUUGCUUCAUUUCAAUUGAAUGCUACUAGAGUCAUUACAAUGAUGACACAAGAGGCCCACAGUGUGACUGAAACAUGGACAGUUGUGUUUUUCUCUGUAAAGACCACUUUCCUAGGUGGAAUAAAAUAGAAAGUUAACACACCAACAAGCCAGUUGCAGGAGUUACUCUUUCUUGAAAGCUAGGAGGCACAUAUUCAUUUUUCUAUUGCUGCUGCAAUUAAUUACCACCAAUUCAGUGGCUUAACACCACACAAAUUUAUUAUCUCAUGAGUAUGUCAUUCAGAAAACUCUCUGUUCUGUAGGAUGGGCUCGACUGGCUUCUUUCCUCCCAAUCUCAAGGCCAAAAUCAAGGUGCUGCCUGGCCUUGGCUCUUCUGUGGAGGCUCUGGGAGAGAACACGCAGCCUGGCCCACGCAAGUUGUUGGCAGAGUUCAGCUCCUUUCAGCAGUGGCACUGAGGUUGCCAUUUCCUUGCUGGCUGUCAGUCACAGGUUGUUAUCUGCUCCAAGAGCCUUAAUUCUGGAUGCUGUCUUCAUAUUUAAAGCCAACAACAGAGGAAGCAUGACUCAGGCAACACUCUGUCAUCAACAGAAGAGAGGACUGACAAAGAACAGCUCCGAUAAGUCCCUGGGGACUUGAACAGUGCCUUCCUAUUCUUUAAAAAAAUAUCCUCUUAAGACAUUUAACGUGGAGCCACCAGCACACAACCAAAGAAAAUGGUCUUCAGGUUGAGAUAUGGCCAAGUGAAGCAAUUUGUGGGAGAGGAAGAGACCCAACCAUUAGCACAAAUUAUUCUGUCAUUCAGGAAGGAAGCUGUGGAGGCUUCCUUAUUUCUCAUUUGUCUGGGUUUAAGUAUCAGUCUACUAAAUGCUCGUGGAGUGAAACCCUGUCUGUUUUUGAUUCUUGGUAUGAAUAUAGAUAAUGAAAGAGAGUUUCUAGAUUAUUUUCAGGAGUUUUCAAUAGAAGAUGUCAGAAAUGUUUCCAAAGGCAUAAUAGGCUUGUGGCUGUCCAUGUUCCAAUAAGGAGCUCAACUUGAUCCUUUAAAGUGAUUCUUCCUGUGAAGAAAGCGGGCUCAGCAAGCACUGGAUUGGUCACCCCAGUGGAGACAAAGGGGGCUACGUAAGUCCAUGGAGAAGGGAUGAAAACUAUCUUGGAAAAAAUUCAGCCAGAGCCCAAAGAGUCUUCUCCUGGCUUUGCAGAGGGCAAGACCGUCUGUAAUGGAACUUCCUCAUGAUACUUUUGCCUUGGAAAGCAUUAUGUUUCUCUCCCCCUUGGGUGAAUUCUUGCCUACUUUUAAAUAUCCAGAGUGGAGAUAGACAUUUUGUGCCUGAAAUUACUGCUGUCUUGGUAGGUCUUCAGAAUAAAACCAAUGUAGCUAAGGGAGUAAGAAAGCUGCAUUGGUAUAUAUGGAAUGUGGAUUUUUAUCAGAUUGGUACAGAGUUUAACUGGGUAUGAUAUAAUCAGGAAAUAUUUUUAUUUUUUCCCACCAAUGCCUAGGACAGAUUGCAUCACUUUCAGUUCCAUUUUAGCCGCUAAUAAGUUGUCCCAUCUUCAGGAGUUAAAAAAAAUCUAAUCCAGAUCAUUCUUUAUAUAUAUAUACUUUAAGUUCUAGGGUACGUGUGCGUGUGCACAACGUGCAGGUUUUUUACAUAUGUAUACAUGUGCCAUGUUGGUGUUCUGCACCCGUUAACUCGACGUUUACAUUAGGUAUAUCUCCUAAUGCUAUCCCUCCCCACUCCCCCUACCCCAUGACAGGCCCCGGUGUGCGAUGUUCCCCUUCCUGUGUCCAAGUGUUCUCAUUGUUCAAUUCCUACCUAUGAGUGAGAACAUGCGGUGUUUGGUUUUCUGUCCUUGAGAUAGUUUGCUCAGAAUGAUGGUUUCCAGCUUCAUCCAUGUCCCUACAAAGGACAUGAACUCAUCCUUUUU
This 2643-nucleotide long non-coding RNA is filed under the name Homo sapiens (human). Its description in RNAcentral is "HSALNT0378582". Lineage: Eukaryota; Metazoa; Chordata; Mammalia; Primates; Hominidae. The record is from RNAcentral.